RNAcentral lists this ribosomal RNA (2917 nucleotides) under Aeromonas veronii. RNAcentral's name for it is "bacterial LSU rRNA". It matches the Rfam family "Bacterial large subunit ribosomal RNA". The record is from RNAcentral. Lineage: Bacteria; Pseudomonadati; Pseudomonadota; Gammaproteobacteria; Aeromonadales; Aeromonadaceae.
GUUGUAUGGUUAAGUGACUAAGCGUACAUGGUGGAUGCCUUGGCAGUCAGAGGCGAUGAAGGACGUACUAACCUGCGAUAAGCUGUGAGAAGUCGGUAAGAGACGCUAUUACUCACAGAUUUCCGAAUGGGGAAACCCACCCGAGAUAACUCGGGUAUCUGUUACUGAAUACAUAGGUAACAGAGGCGAACCGGGAGAACUGAAACAUCUAAGUACCCCGAGGAAAAGAAAUCAACCGAGAUUCCCUCAGUAGCGGCGAGCGAACGGGGAUUAGCCCUUAAGCAUCUUGGAAGUUAGUGGAACGGUCCUGGAAAGGCCGGCGAUACAGGGUGAUAGCCCCGUACACGAAAACAACCUUGAUGUGAAAUCGAGUAGGGCGGGACACGUGACAUCCUGUCUGAAUAUGGGGGGACCAUCCUCCAAGGCUAAAUACUCCUGACUGACCGAUAGUGAACCAGUACCGUGAGGGAAAGGCGAAAAGAACCCCUGUGAGGGGAGUGAAAUAGAACCUGAAACCGUGUACGUACAAGCAGUGGGAGCCCUUCGGGGUGACUGCGUACCUUUUGUAUAAUGGGUCAGCGACUUACAUUUUGUAGCGAGGUUAACCGUAUAGGGGAGCCGUAGGGAAACCGAGUCUUAACUGGGCGUCUAGUUGCAAGGUGUAGACCCGAAACCGGGUGAUCUAGCCAUGGGCAGGUUGAAGGUUGAGUAACAUCAACUGGAGGACCGAACCCACUAACGUUGCAAAGUUAGGGGAUGACCUGUGGCUGGGGGUGAAAGGCCAAUCAAACUCGGAGAUAGCUGGUUCUCCCCGAAAGCUAUUUAGGUAGCGCCUCGGACGAAUACUACUGGGGGUAGAGCACUGUUUGGGCUAGGGGGUCAUCCCGACUUACCAACCCCAUGCAAACUCCGAAUACCAGUAAGUAAUAUCCGGGAGACACACGGCGGGUGCUAACGUCCGUCGUGAAGAGGGAAACAACCCAGACCGCCGGCUAAGGUCCCAAAGUUCUGGUUAAGUGGGAAACGAUGUGGGAAGGCUCAGACAGCUAGGAUGUUGGCUUAGAAGCAGCCAUCAUUUAAAGAAAGCGUAAUAGCUCACUAGUCGAGUCGGCCUGCGCGGAAGAUGUAACGGGGCUCAAACCAGGCACCGAAGCCGCGGAUUCAUACUUAUGUAUGAGUGGUAGGGGAGCGUUCUGUAAGUCUGCGAAGGUGUAUCGAGAGGUAUGCUGGAGAUAUCAGAAGUGCGAAUGCUGACGUAAGUAACGAUAAAGGGGGUGAAAAGCCUCCUCGCCGGAAGACCAAGGGUUCCUGUCCAACGUUAAUCGGGGCAGGGUGAGUCGACCCCUAAGGCGAGGCCGAAAGGCGUAGUCGAUGGGAAGCAGGUUAAUAUUCCUGCACGACUUGUAAUUGCGAUGGGGGGACGGAGAAGGCUAGGUGGGCCAGGCGACGGUUGUCCUGGUGAAAGUGCGUAGGUGGUGUUUCUAGGCAAAUCCGGAGACACAACACUGAGACACGAGACGAACACACUACGGUGUGGAAGCCAUUGAUGCCCUGCUUCCAGGAAAAGCCUCUAAGCUUCAGAUUACAAGUCAUCGUACCCCAAACCGACACAGGUGGUCGGGUAGAGAAUACCAAGGCGCUUGAGAGAACUCGGGUGAAGGAACUAGGCAAAAUAGAACCGUAACUUCGGGAGAAGGUUCGCUCCUGACAGUGAAGUCCCUUGCGGAUGGAGCAGUUGGGAGUCGCAGUGACCAGAUGGCUGGGACUGUUUAUCAAAACACAGCACUCUGCAAACACGAAAGUGGACGUAUAGGGUGUGACACCUGCCCGGUGCCGGAAGGUUAAUUGAUGGGGUUAGCGCAAGCGAAGCUCUUGAUCGAAGCCCCGGUAAACGGCGGCCGUAACUAUAACGGUCCUAAGGUAGCGAAAUUCCUUGUCGGGUAAGUUCCGACCUGCACGAAUGGUGUAACCAUGGCCAUGCUGUCUCCACCCGAGACUCAGUGAAAUCGAAUUCGCCGUGAAGAUGCGGUGUACCCGCGGCUAGACGGAAAGACCCCGUGAACCUUUACUACAGCUUGGCACUGAACAUUGAACCUACAUGUGUAGGAUAGGUGGGAGGCUUUGAAGGCGUGACGCCAGUUGCGCUGGAGCCGUCCUUGAAAUACCACCCUUGUAUGUUUGAUGUUCUAACGCAGGGCCCUGAAUCGGGCUCGCGGACAGUGCCUGGUGGGUAGUUUGACUGGGGCGGUCUCCUCCCAAAGAGUAACGGAGGAGCACGAAGGUUGGCUAAUCCUGGUCGGACAUCAGGAGGUUAGUGCAAUGGCAUAAGCCAGCUUAACUGCGAGACGGACAGGUCGAGCAGGUACGAAAGUAGGUCAUAGUGAUCCGGUGGUUCUGAAUGGAAGGGCCAUCGCUCAACGGAUAAAAGGUACUCCGGGGAUAACAGGCUGAUACCGCCCAAGAGUUCAUAUCGACGGCGGUGUUUGGCACCUCGAUGUCGGCUCAUCACAUCCUGGGGCUGAAGUCGGUCCCAAGGGUAUGGCUGUUCGCCAUUUAAAGUGGUACGCGAGCUGGGUUCAGAACGUCGUGAGACAGUUCGGUCCCUAUCUGCCGUGGGCGUUGGAUGAUUGAAGGGAGUUGCUCCUAGUACGAGAGGACCGGAGUGAACGAACCUCUGGUGUUCGGGUUGUCACGCCAGUGGCACUGCCCGGUAGCUAAGUUCGGAAUCGAUAACCGCUGAAAGCAUCUAAGCGGGAAGCGAGCCCUGAGAUGAGUCAUCCCUGACCCCUUGAGGGUCCUAAAGGGCCGUUGGAGACCACAACGUUGAUAGGUGGGGUGUGUAAGCGCGGCGACGUGUUGAGCUAACCCAUACUAAUUACCCGUGAGGCUUAACCAUACAACACCCAAGAAGUGUUCU